Molecule: ribosomal RNA, 474 nt
Filed under: Escherichia coli
Lineage: Bacteria; Pseudomonadati; Pseudomonadota; Gammaproteobacteria; Enterobacterales; Enterobacteriaceae
Description: bacterial SSU rRNA
Rfam family: Bacterial small subunit ribosomal RNA
Source: RNAcentral
AAGAGUUUGAUCAUGGCUCAGAUUGAACGCUGGCGGCAGGCCUAACACAUGCAAGUGGAACGGUAACAGGAAGCAGCUUGGUGCUUUGCUGACGAGUGGCGGACGGGUGAGUAAUGUCUGGGAAACUGCCUGAUGGAGGGGGAUAACUACUGGAAACGGUAGCUAAUACCGCAUAACGUCGCAAGACCAAAGAGGGGGACCUUAGGGCCUCUUGCCAUCGGAUGUGCCCAGAUGGGAUUAGCUAGUAGGUGGGGUAAAGGCUCACCUAGGCGACGAUCCCUAGCUGGUCUGAGAGGAUGACCAGCCACACUGGAACUGAGACACGGUCCAGACUCCUACGGGAGGCAGCAGUGGGGAAUAUUGCACAAUGGGCGCAAGCCUGAUGCAGCCAUGCCGCGUGUAUGAAGAAGGCCUUCGGGUUGUAAAGUACUUUCAGCGGGGAGGAAGGGAGUAAAGUUAAUACCUUUGCUCAUU